Molecule: ribosomal RNA, 303 nt
Filed under: Pareucalanus attenuatus
Lineage: Eukaryota; Metazoa; Arthropoda; Copepoda; Calanoida; Eucalanidae
Description: partial 16S ribosomal RNA
Source: RNAcentral
GGUAGCAUAAUAAUUAGUUUUUUAAUUGAAAAAUGGAAUGAAUGGUUUCACUAAAGCUGAAUAUUAAUCCUUACCAUGUAAACUUUUAUUUUAUGUGAAAAUACAUAAAUGUACCUACUAGACAAAAAGACCCUAUGAAGCUAAAAAUUAACUCGUAACGAUAGUAAUCCGUAAAUUUAUUUUUUGGGGUAAAAAAAAAAGAAUUUAUUUUUAUAUUUUUGUUUUAUGAUCCUUUAGGAUAAUAAGAAAAAGCUCCCCUAGGGAUAACAGCGUUAUAGUAGUUAGAGUCCUUAUCGAACCUAC